UACGUAGGGUGCAGGCGUUAAUCGGAGUUACUGGGCGUAAAGCGUGCGCAGGCGGUCUGUUAAGACAGGUGUGAAAUCCCGAGCUCAACUUGGGAUUGCGCUUGUAACUGGCAGGCUAGAGUGUGGCGAGAGGGGGUGGAAUUCCAGGUGUAGCAGUGAAAUGCGUAGAUAUCUGGAGGAACACCGAUGGCGAAGGCAGCCCCUGGGUUAACACGUGACGCUCAGGCACGAAAGCGUGGGGAGCGAAACAGGA
RNAcentral lists this ribosomal RNA (253 nucleotides) under uncultured bacterium. RNAcentral's name for it is "partial 16S ribosomal RNA". It matches the Rfam family "Bacterial small subunit ribosomal RNA", at positions 524 to 777 of the family's 1533-position model. The record is from RNAcentral.